GGACUCCCAGGUGAUACCUUACCAACAGGCACAUUCCUCAUCGUCGUUCAUGCACCACCACUACAAUAUUUCGCUGUUGAACCUACUCCAUAAGCAUCAGCAAUCUCUGCUAUAAUCUCUGUCAUUCAGGACGAUUUAGGGAUCAAUUCCAGAAUUUGGGAGACGUUUGUUUCCUCCUAAUCACAUCACAAUACAUUCAAUUAAAUUCUCUAAAGUCGGUGUCUCCCUUCUUCGCGUUUUUCUCGGCUCCUGGGCCCUCGGGCCCCGGAGCUAAAAGCCCCCGAAUUAGGGAUCAUUCCAUUUUUCGAGGAUGUCUUAGAAAAUAACAUCGAUCGCUUAUUUCUGAUACGACAAGAUUCAGAGCUAAAACUGCACAGUCAAAUCCGAAGAGCUUCAUUAUGACCAAGAACAAUGCCAAGACCGACAUUUAGGCCAUUAUUUCAUAUAAUCGCCCCAGGCUCUUCCUCACGAAUCAUCAAUUUCUUGAAUCGACGCCAAAGACCGAGCCCUGAAAGUGUCGCGAUGAGAACUGCUACAGUUAUUAUUCCGUGGAUUUACUGUGUGCGGAUUUUGGUGUGGGACGGAUAGAAUGAAAAUACUCAGCAAUUGCAGGAGGAGAAUAUUCACCUUAAGGUACCACUGAAUUCCACUCGACGAUAAGUGGAACUGAAAAAGCAAAAGAAAAUUAUUGGAUUAUAUGGAUUACUGGAACUGAGAGUUCUGUGUCGAUAGAUGACGAUAUCCUUUGGCUUAGUGACCGGUGUUUAGAGUGCGGACGUCGCUUCCUCGUGUCAUAUUAAUAAUAAAAGAAAGUAAA
Long non-coding RNA from Diachasmimorpha longicaudata, 817 nucleotides. RefSeq lists it as uncharacterized. The record is from RefSeq and is a predicted model, not a curated record. Lineage: Eukaryota; Metazoa; Arthropoda; Insecta; Hymenoptera; Braconidae. The transcript has 3 exons.